This 1103-nucleotide long non-coding RNA is filed under the name Homo sapiens (human). Its description in RNAcentral is "SEC24B antisense RNA 1". The record is from RNAcentral. Lineage: Eukaryota; Metazoa; Chordata; Mammalia; Primates; Hominidae.
ACUGAGGGUGUCACCCGGGACCGCGGCUCAGGAACCCCAGACGCACGGGCCUUGUGCUGUCGCUGCCGUGGCACCCCUUCUAGAAGAAGUGGGAGCCUUGGACAACUGAACGCCUAUCUCUAGCUCAAGAAAUGUCAGCUCUUUUUUUUUUUUUGAGACUGUCACCCAGUCGGGAGUACAGUGGCGCCAUCUUGGCUCUCUGUAACCUCCACCUCCUGGGUUCAAGCGAUUCUCCUGCCUCAGCCUCCUGAGUAGCUGGGGCUACAGUCGUGAAGGGGCCUCGUGACUGGGCCUCAUGCCAAACAACUCAUUACAAAAGGAGCUAUGGUCCCAGACCACAACGAAGCUUCAUGAGACCUCUCCUCAUCUGUGCACGGACAAGUGUCUGACUCUGGAGCCCAGGCUGUUGCUUUCCAGUCUGGUGGUGAAUCCUUCACAGUCUGAAAAUCUAGGUAUCUUGCACCAAGAAGUGGAAAAUAAAGAAGAGAAAUGAGAACCAUGUUUGUAUUGGCUGUCUAUAAAAUAAGAGUUCUAGGUACAUGAAAUCCACUGGUGUGCUGGUAAAUGUUUAAUAACCAGUCCUCUGGAAAGGAGAAAGUUGAAGACCCCAUUUAUACAUUUGCUCAUUUCUGUGGUGUAAAUACCCUGAAAAUAGCUGAUUUCGAGCUAUCAACAUUACUGAAGAUGGAGCUGGGAAGAGGGAGAAGUUAAGUGAAGUUUUCCAACCCACAGCUGGCAGGUAAAACUAAAUUCACAGAAAUUAAAUCCCUCCACUGAUGAAAAAGGCACCAGGCUGUAAAAAGAAGAUUAAUCUAGCAAUCAAAUACCUCGAUGAAUGUGCAGAGUGGCUUGGAAGUGAGCAGUAGUUAAAAACAAAUGUAACAAAAUAUAAGAUGGAAUACUUUACAUCACAGUUUUGGCUGAGGCUCCAAAGACUGAGAAUAAAUCAGUAUCUGCCCAGUCACCACGGUGUGCCAAAGGAGGUGCUGGAUUGCCUCGUCAGGACAUGCUACAUGGAUGGAGAGAAGAUUCCUUGGGGAGAUUUGGUGUGUGCAUAACCAGUCCUUCCAGCACUGGAGAAAGGAGGAGUCCUGCACAGGUUG